GUGAGGAAUAUUGGUCAAUGGGCGAGAGCCUGAACCAGCCAAGUAGCGUGCAGGAUGACGGCCCUAUGGGUUGUAAACUGCUUUUAUGUGGGGAUAAAGUGCGUGACGUGUCAUGCAUUGCAGGUACCACAUGAAUAAGGACCGGCUAAUUCCGUGCCAGCAGCCGCGGUAAUACGGAAGGUCCGGGCGUUAUCCGGAUUUAUUGGGUUUAAAGGGAGCGUAGGCUGUCUAUUAAGCGUGUUGUGAAAUUUACCGGCUCAACCGGUGGCUUGCAGCGCGAACUGGUCGACUUGAGUAUGCAGGAAGUAGGCGGAAUUCAUGGUGUAGCGGUGAAAUGCUUAGAUAUCAUGACGAACUCCGAUUGCGCAGGCAGCUUACUGUAGCAUAACUGACGCUGAUGCUCGAAAGUGCGGGUAUCAAACAGGAUUAGAUACCCUUGUAGUCC
RNAcentral lists this ribosomal RNA (445 nucleotides) under uncultured bacterium. Its description in RNAcentral is "bacterial SSU rRNA". It matches the Rfam family "Bacterial small subunit ribosomal RNA", at positions 354 to 796 of the family's 1533-position model. The record is from RNAcentral.